AGUGAACGCUGGCGGUAGGCCUAACACAUGCAAGUCGAACGGCAGCACAGUAAGAGCUUGCUCUUACGGGUGGCGAGUGGCGGACGGGUGAGGAAUACAUCGGCAUCUACUUUUUCGUGGGGGACAACGUAGGGACACUUACGCUAAUACCGCAUACUACCUACGGGUGAAAUCAGGAGAUCUUCGGACCUUGCGCGACUGAAUGAGACGAUGUCGGAUUAGCUAGUUGGCGGGGUAAAGGCCCACCAAGGCGACGAUCCGUAGCUGGUCUGAGAGGAUGAUCAGCCACACUGGAACUGAGACACGGUCCAGACUCCUACGGGAGGCAGCAGUGGGGAAUAUUGGACAAUGGGCGAAAGCCUGAUCCAGCCAUACCGCGUGAGUGAAGAAGGCCUUCGGGUUGUAAAGCCCUUUUGUUGGGAAAGAAAAGAAGCAGGUGAAUAUCCCGAUGUUCUGACGGUACCCAAAGAAUAAGCACCGGCUAACUUCGUG
Molecule: ribosomal RNA, 492 nt
Filed under: uncultured bacterium
Lineage: Bacteria
Description: partial 16S ribosomal RNA
Rfam family: Bacterial small subunit ribosomal RNA
Source: RNAcentral